GUGUACUUCUUUUCCUCAUAGUAUGAGUCCGUGUACUCCAGGAGCAGACGGAUGGCGUGAGCCAGCUGGGAAGACGCCCAAGCCAGAGAAUCGGCUGGAGAACGUUUUCAACCUUACGGAUGCCCGAAGCCUGUCACAGACCAAUGAGCCGGAGCCCUAAGCACGGGGGCCUCUGCUGUCUCCAAAGCUCACCGGGGGAGCCCCUUGCGGACCAGGGCGAUGCUUUAGAACCAUAGCUCCCUGGCAAGGAAAAUCUUCAAUCUUCUCUGAAAAGAAAACAGAAAAUAACCCAAACAUGUUUAUAAUCCACUGCAAGAGCGACUGUACAAAGUUCAUCUGCAAGUAUGAAGGGCUCUCAAGACUGCAGUUUUUGUUUGCAUCCUGCCUUGCCGUGACAUUUGAAGACAUGGUCAGCAGCGUGACACAUCUUGGCAAGACUUCCAUAGUACCCCGCUGAUGUUGGUUGAAUACCGUCGCUGGGAAAGCUCUCCUCUCACAAGGAAUAUCAUGAAGUAUCCUUACUAAACUCCACUUAAAAGUCUUUGGUCUU
Ailuropoda melanoleuca (giant panda) is the source of this 550-nucleotide long non-coding RNA. RefSeq lists it as uncharacterized. The transcript is spliced from 3 exons. The record is from RefSeq and is a predicted model, not a curated record. NCBI's taxonomy places the organism in Eukaryota, Metazoa, Chordata, Mammalia, Carnivora, Ursidae.